CUCAUUAAAUCAGUUAUAGUUUAUUUGAUGGUCUCUUUUGUCUUUUUUUACCUACUUGGAUAACCGUGGUAAUUCUAGAGCUAAUACAUGCGCAAGGUCCCGAGCGCGGGGGGCAGGGCUUCACGGCUCUACUCUUGCAUGCGUAGAGGGAUGUAUUUAUUAGGUUAAAAACCAGCAGCCGGCAACGGCUUCAACUCCUGGUGAUUCAUAGUAACUCUUUCGGAUCGCAUUCAUG
RNAcentral lists this ribosomal RNA (235 nucleotides) under uncultured Acanthamoeba. Its description in RNAcentral is "partial 18S ribosomal RNA". It matches the Rfam family "Eukaryotic small subunit ribosomal RNA", at positions 97 to 279 of the family's 1831-position model. Lineage: Eukaryota; Discosea; Longamoebia; Acanthamoebidae. The record is from RNAcentral.